RNAcentral lists this ribosomal RNA (407 nucleotides) under uncultured bacterium. RNAcentral describes it as "partial 16S ribosomal RNA". It matches the Rfam family "Bacterial small subunit ribosomal RNA", at positions 28 to 526 of the family's 1533-position model. The record is from RNAcentral.
GACGAACGCUGGCGGCGUGCCUAAUACAUGCAAGUCGGACGCAGUUGCGAACGUGAGAGUAACGCGUAGGUAACUGCCUAUUAGAGGGGGAUAACUAUUGGAAACGAUAGCUAAUACCGCAUACUAGUUGAUGUACCUGCGUUGUUUUAGCUAGUAGGUAGGGUAAUGGCCUACCUAGGCGACGAUACAUAGUCGAGCGGAGAGUGUGGUCGGGCACCAUGGGACAGAGAAACGGGCCAAGCUCCGUCUGGAUGCAGGAGGAGGGAAUCUUCGGCAAUGGGGGGCACCCUGGCCGAGCAACGGCGCGUGAGUGGAGAAGGGUUUCGGGUCGUAAAGGUCUGUUGUUAAGGAAGCGGUACUUAAACAGAAAGGGACGGCUAACUACGUGCCAGCAGCCGCGGUAAUUC